CAGUAGCCACGGGAACACGGAGGGUGCAAGCGUUAAUCGGAAUUACUGGGCGUAAAGCGCACGCAGGCGGUCUGACAAGUCAGAUGUGAAAUCCCCGGGCUUAACCUGGGAACUGCAUUUGAAACUGUCAGGCUGGAGUCUUGUAGAGGGGGGUGGAAUUCCAGGUGUAGCGGUGAAAUGCGUAGAGAUCUGGAGGAAUACCGGUGGCGAAGGCGGCCCCCUGGACAAAGACUGACGCUCAGGUGCGAAAGCGUGGGGAGCAAACAGGAUUAGAUACCCCUGUAGUCCCUGUCUCUUAUAU
This 301-nucleotide ribosomal RNA is filed under the name uncultured bacterium. RNAcentral's name for it is "partial 16S ribosomal RNA". It matches the Rfam family "Bacterial small subunit ribosomal RNA", at positions 509 to 809 of the family's 1533-position model. The record is from RNAcentral.